RNAcentral lists this unclassified non-coding RNA (1421 nucleotides) under Leishmania donovani. Its description in RNAcentral is "gene:LdHU3.34.5910(CDS-product:aquaporin_2_putati ve)". The record is from RNAcentral. Lineage: Eukaryota; Euglenozoa; Kinetoplastea; Trypanosomatida; Trypanosomatidae.
CUCUAAGGGUGAGUGCCGUCACGCGAUGCUCUCCGAGUUCCUCAGUCAGCUGGUGGCGGAGUUCGUCGGCACCUUUUUGCUAGUGCUGACCAUCACACUAGCCUCUGUCGGAGUGGGCACGCUCGCGCCUAUUCCCAUUGGUUUUAUGCUGGCUGCGAUGUGCUUCACGUUUGGCUACAUCAGCGGUGCACACUUCAACCCCGCCAUCUCCUUUGCCGUUUUCAUCAACCGCAAAAUGACGCUGCGUCGAACGGUGAUGUACAUAGUUGUGCAGCUCGCCGGCUCCUUCUGUGCCUCACUCUACGCGUCCGCAAUCAUCGGACUCCAGAUCCCAGCACCGGUUGCGAACGGCGACUUGGCGAACACUUGGCAAGUGCUGCUGUGCGAGCUUGUGUACACGUUCGCCCUCACCUCGGUGGUGCUGCACGUCUGCUUCUCUCGUCAGCGUUCGAAUGACUUUUACGGCUUCGCUAUUGGCAUGACGCUCAUGGCGGCCGGGUUCUCGGUUGGCGGGUUCACCGGCGGCGCCUUCAACCCAGCCGUCGCCACAGGCACGCAGCUGGUGUUGUGCGUAUACAAGAAUUGCGACCCGCUCUUCUACUUCUGGGUGUACUGGAUCGCCCCGAUCUGUGGCGCCUUCGUCGCCAGCGUCAUCUUUCAGCUGCUGGACACCCACGAAUCUGUGCCGGUGGUGUUAGGCAAGGAAGCGGUGUAUUGAGACGGCAGAGGUGUGUAUGUGUGUGUUGGUGCCCGGGUGCAUUCGACGUACUCAGCAUUUCUGGACGUCCGAUGAUGCCACCUGACUGCUUUAUUAUGUCGCAUCUCUGCGCUUUGCCAGCUGAGGCGGAUUCGCGCCCCCACUGCCCACGCCGCGAACAGGGGUGUGCGCAGCCCACUUUUGCUCACACACACACACACACACACAAACCUGGGUACUCCGUCAGAGCGGAAUCCAUGCUCACUUCUGUACGCGUUCGCUCGCUGCACUUGAGCAGCUCCCUCUGCCAUACAGCAGGUGGCGCAUACGCCUGCGUAUGCUUCUGUCUCGUUGUCUCUCGUGAAGCGCUUCGGCCUCCUCCUCCUCUGCGGCGGGCAGACAUCGUUUUUUGUGUCGGUGAGCGCGCUUCUCUUGGUGAUGGUUUUGUUGACUUUUGCGUCUUCGUCGCUCGGGGUGUUUGCGUUGUGGCCGUCAAUGCACUAAAAAGGCGCGCGUGCGCCUGUGCAAACGUGUGUGUGCGCGCAUGUGUGUGUGGAGAUCAUCUCUCGCUGCAUGCGCUGUCAUCUGUCGUGCGUACACGGGCGAGAAAACGAAGAGAGAGGAGUGAGCCCACUCCCCCCUCUUCCCCUCCGCUCCCCGGCUAUCUGUGCCUGGCGUGUUGGCGGUGUGCCUAUCUCUGAGUGGUGGUCGAUGCAGGCUCUUU